Molecule: unclassified non-coding RNA, 344 nt
Filed under: soil metagenome
Description: partial contains 5.8S ribosomal RNA, internal transcribed spacer 2, and large subunit ribosomal RNA
Rfam family: 5.8S ribosomal RNA (bases 1-120)
Source: RNAcentral
GAUGAAGAACGUAGCGAAAUGCGAUACGUAAUGUGAAUUGCAGAAUUCAGUGAAUCAUCGAGUCUUUGAACGCACAUUGCGCCCCCUGGUAUUCCGGGGGGCAUGCCUGUCCGAGCGUCAUGCUGCCCUCAAGCACGGCUUGUGUGUUGGGCCUCCGUCCUCCUCCCGGGGGACGGGCCCGAAAGGCAGCGGCGGCACCGCGUCCGGUCCUCGAGCGUAUGGGGCUUCGUCACCCGCUCUUGUAGGCCCGGCCGGCGCUUGCCGACACAUCAAUCUUUUUUCCAGGUUGACCUCGGAUCAGGUAGGGAUACCCGCUGAACUUAAGCAUAUCAAUAAGCGGAGGA